This 262-nucleotide ribosomal RNA is filed under the name uncultured bacterium. RNAcentral's name for it is "partial 16S ribosomal RNA". It matches the Rfam family "Bacterial small subunit ribosomal RNA", at positions 793 to 1055 of the family's 1533-position model. The record is from RNAcentral.
GUCCAUGCCGUAAACGUUGGGAACUAGAUGUGGGGGCCAUUCCACGGUCUCCGUGUCGCAGCUAACGCAUUAAGUUCCCCGCCUGGGGAGUACGGCCGCAAGGCUAAAACUCAAAGGAAUUGACGGGGGCCCGCACAAGCGGCGGAGCAUGCGGAUUAAUUCGAUGCAACGCGAAGAACCUUACCAAGGCUUGACAUAUACCGGAAACGUCCAGAGAUGGUCGCCCCGCAAGGUCGGUAUACAGGUGGUGCAUGGUUGUCGU